UGGGGAAUAUUGCGCAAUGGGCGAAAGCCUGACGCAGCGACGCCGCGUGAGGGAUGAAGGUUUUCGGAUCGUAAACCUCUGUCAGAAGGGAAGAAACCGCACUGUGCUAAUCAGCAGUGCCUUGACGGUACCUUCAAAGGAAGCACCGGCUAACUCCGUGCCAGCAGCCGCGGUAAUACGGAGGGUGCAAGCGUUAAUCGGAAUUACUGGGCGUAAAGCGCACGUAGGCUGCUUUGUAAGUCAGGGGUGAAAUCCCACGGCUCAACCGUGGAACUGCCUUUGAUACUGCUUAGCUUGAAUCCGGGAGAGGGUGGCGGAAUUCCAGGUGUAGGAGUGAAAUCCGUAGAUAUCUGAGGAACAUCAGUGGCGAAGGCGGCCACCUGGACCGGUAUUGACGCUGAGGUGCGAAAGCGUGGGGAGCAAACAGG
Molecule: ribosomal RNA, 428 nt
Filed under: Fusobacteriota bacterium
Lineage: Bacteria; Fusobacteriati; Fusobacteriota
Description: Fusobacteria bacterium partial 16S ribosomal RNA
Rfam family: Bacterial small subunit ribosomal RNA
Source: RNAcentral